This 2011-nucleotide unclassified non-coding RNA is filed under the name Hevea brasiliensis (rubber tree). The record is from RNAcentral. Lineage: Eukaryota; Viridiplantae; Streptophyta; Magnoliopsida; Malpighiales; Euphorbiaceae.
AAAAAACAAUCUCAGCUAAUUCUAUACAUUUAACAAAAUAACAAGAUAUAGAAUUUAUAGCGUGGACUCCGAUUCAUCAAAUGUGAUCCCAAGUUCUGCUGGCAAAAUAGGAAAAUGGUCAUGGCUUACUGACCUGAAAGAAUGUUCAGAAGCUUUAAGUGUGUUACAUUUCUGCAGUAUUCGUCACCCUUUUGACGAAUAAGGAAUCUCAUGGAAUCUGAGUAGCUUGAAUCAGCAACAGUUGAAAAAACUUGGCAGAGAAGACUCGUGCUUUGCUUCUGAAGAGAGGCAUUUUGCCGUGGAACAGUUCCUCAACUCCAAAACAUUCAAGCCCAAAAUCACUGACUAAAGAUCAAAAUGUUUGUCAGUCAUCCAAGUAAUCAUCAUUAAACAUCAUUCUAGCACUAGCACAUUCCUCUAUCGCUUUAGCAUUCACUUCCCUGCCAUACCUCCAUAUGUAGUUCAAACCAACGAGCAGCUCUGUGAUUGCUGAUUCUGUCUUUUCUUGAUUUGCAUAAUAAAGGGUUUGUACUAGCAGCACAUUUGUUCUGGAAACAAAGUUCUGAUGCUCGAAACUCCGCUCGGACUGCCAUCUUAUCAUAUUAUGAGCAAGAGGAGCAAGCCAUUCUAGUAUCCCCAGCAUUGCUUCAUUCCAUUCUCCAGCAAGAACUGUGUCAUAAACGGAUGACGUCAAGCUCUUAGCAAAUGGUUUUAAUUUCGCCCUGAGGGCUGCUCUUAAACUAGCCGGUAGCAUGUUGUACAGGUCUUCUCUUGCAUCAUGUCCGAUCAAGUGAGGAGAUGCCACUAGUUUCUCAGUCACGAUAAUGACAUUUGCAUAAUGCAGUGCUAAGGCAGCAGCCCCGAGAGUUUCUGGAGGAGCAUUUAACAGCCUUUUUUUCGCAUUAUAACUUGUUAGAUAAGAGCAAGUUGAAUAGCCAUCAGCAAGUCCAUCUACACCAGCUCCUUUCGUUGCAUUUAGAAAACCUGAAUGAAAUCCGUGUGGAUCUAGAUGGCAAUUACUUACAGGAGAACCAUUCCCAACCAUCAUGCAGCCUUUAAGCGGUCCAGAGGUCGGUCGAGCAUGUUUUAAAUUUGAGCCUUUUCCAUUUAGGUUACCUGAACGAUCACGGGAUUUCCACCACUUCAUGCCGGAUUUAUUAAAUAGAGGGAGAGGACCAGAUUUUGUUGUUGACCUCCCCAGAGGACCCGAAUAGAAACCAGCAGAAGAAUGCCUUCCAGGAAUCGGGCUUGCUGUUGAUGUUGAACUUUUCAAGGGACCGGAAUAAGAACUGUGAAUGUUCCUAGUGCUCGAAAUUGGUCCAGAUUUCGCAAGGAUGCUUUCUACUGGUUCCGAAGAAAAUCUAGAGAGACUACUUUCAGAUGGGUGAACAGAUGACUGAGCAUAAGCAACUGAGUAGCUCCGAUGGAUUUGAUCAGAAUCUAGAUCUCUGGAUGCUUUAGCCCUCUCAUCCACAACGGGAUCAACUCCAAACACAUGCCCUAUCCUACUAAAUAUAGAAAACAAGGAUCUCGCCAAAAGACGGACAAUAUAAUCGUAAGUUCUAUUCCAAAUAGAGACAUCCUUAAGGUGCUUCACCUCCUGCUUCUUCCACGCAAGCUUCUUCUCGUAUUCAACCAAGGUAAUACUAUCUGCAUCAUCAUUUCCCUUCAAUCUCCUCAAUGUCUGUUCAAGAUCAGAAAGAUUCUCCAUUUCUUGAUACAAAUUCGCAUUUAUCACAAUAAACCGUUCCAUCUUCUUGAUUUUUUUGUCCAUCUUCUUCCAUGAGAGUUGCCACCCGUAUGGAUCAGCACCAACUUUUAGCAAAUCAUUGAAGGCUUGCUCGAAACUCUUCAAGAACGGAUCAUUACAUUUCUUUGCAAGCCUAGAAACAGCAGUUGCUACAUGUCCCAAGUUCUCAACCAACUCAGUACAUAUCAAUCUUGCAGUAUAUGAAUCAUCAUCCGAAAUAAGCUUCUUUAUACCGACCGAGUUCAUUAUCUCAUCCCUCAA